This 229-nucleotide ribosomal RNA is filed under the name uncultured bacterium. RNAcentral's name for it is "partial 16S ribosomal RNA". It matches the Rfam family "Bacterial small subunit ribosomal RNA", at positions 126 to 354 of the family's 1533-position model. The record is from RNAcentral.
UAGCCUUGGAGUGGGGAAUAACAGCUGGAAACAGCUGCUAAUACCGCAUGAUGCAGUUGGGUCGCAUGGCUCUGACUGCCAAAGAUUUAUCGCUCUGAGAUGGACUCGCGUCUGAUUAGCUAGUUGGCGGGGCAACGGCCCACCAAGGCGACGAUCAGUAGCCGGACUGAGAGGUUGGCCGGCCACAUUGGGACUGAGACACGGCCCAGACUCCUACGGGAGGCAGCAG